RNAcentral lists this unclassified non-coding RNA (2428 nucleotides) under Nilaparvata lugens (brown planthopper). RNAcentral's name for it is "laccase, transcript variant X5". Lineage: Eukaryota; Metazoa; Arthropoda; Insecta; Hemiptera; Delphacidae. The record is from RNAcentral.
GCACUGGACAUUAGAGCAUCGGUGAGACAGUGACAAGUUAACCGGCUAUCUCAGGAGUACUAUUUGCAAGUUUAUAGUGAUGUUUAUAUUAUCUUGAUGUGGGAUAGAGAGCAGAAACAAGGAUGGCGCAAUGAAAUUUGAGGACACGCCGUAUCUAUAGGGAUGUGAAGAGUUGAAGAAUUCUGAUACGAUGGCUAUCACUUUUCUACUCUUAUUGAUUUUCAUUGAAUUCAAAAAAGUCAACAAUCUUGAAAACAACGCACAACUGAUCCGUUUCCUACAACCCGAUGAUGUGGACAGCAUACAUUUCAACAUUGACGACAUGAAACGUCGCUCUAGUCUCUGCACCCGCAACUGCGAAACUAAUUCGAAGCCAAUGCUUUGCUACUAUCAAUUCACUCUGGAGCAGUAUACAGUUAUGGGCCCGGCGUGUUAUGACUGUCCCCUGAACAUUUCAAAUUGCUAUCAACCACAGUGCGUUACUGCCGAUGGCAUUGAAAAAAUGAUCCUAGUUGCUAACAGACGUAUGCCAGGACCAUCUAUUCAGGUGUGCCAAGGCGACACAGUUGUAGUGGAUGUUGUGAACAAAAUGGCUGGUCGCAGUACAGCAGUGCACUGGCAUGGUCUGAAGCAGCGAGGGACGCCAUUCAUGGAUGGCAUGCCGGGAGUCACGCAGUGUCCCAUCCUCUCCGACCAGACUUUCCGCUACAAAUUCAAAACUGCCAAUAGUGGCACAUUCUUCUGGCAUUCGCAUGAUGGCACACAAAAAAUGGAUGGACUGGUGGGUAAUCUGAUAGUGCGCGGAAGAAUGGAUGCGAAUCGUGAGCAAUAUGACUUGGACCUGGCAUCGCAUGUGGUGCUUGUCACCGACUGGAUGCACGAGACCAGUGACGAUCAUCAGCCGGGUCUGCUCCGAAGCAAUAUUGGCCAGGAGCCCGAUGCAUACCUGGUCAACGGACGCGGAGUUUAUCUGCCAGACCUGGCCAGUAUGCUGAAGAUGUCAUCAGCGGCGAGCGGAGUGAGCCUGCAGUUGAGCAUGCCGCUUGCAAGGUUCGUCGUGAAGAGAGGUCUGCGCUACAGAUUUCGAGUGAUCGGCGGCUCCUGUCUCUCCUGUCCGUUUCGAAUCUAUUUCCAAAGCCAUCAGCUGACUCUCAUCAACAUGGAUAUGAACUCAGUAAGGCCUGUUACUGUCGAUGCUGCUGACAUCUCUUCUGGAGAGAGAUUCGAUUUCGUAAUUAAUGCGAACCAAGCAGUGUCGAGCUAUUGGAUCUAUAUCACUGGUCUCGGAGCAUGCAAGAAUAGCCGAGGCGUAGCUGUGCUCCAAUACGAGGGAGCUCUCUUAUCUAAACCAUUGACACCUAUGCCAGGAAUAACCAGUAUUCCUAAUGGGGCUGUUUUCAAUCGACGGAACUCAGUGUGCAGACCAAACACGAAGCUAGAUGUUUGUGUGACGCAGCUCAGAAGUCAGAGGCGCAAUCCUGAAAAGCUUGUGCAACCUCCUGACGCCAGAAUUCUGGUCAAUUUUAUAUUCUACCAGUUCAACAGAAAAACUUUGUUCGAAGAAGGAGAUUAUAAAAGAUAUUUUGCGCCCUACAACCCAUUCACAAAUCAAAUAGUUCUGCUAACGUCGGUGGUGAAGAAUGUGUCGAAUAGCAUGCCUUCCACGCCACUGCUCAACCAGAUCGACGACAUCAGCGACUCCAAGUUCUGCAGCGACGAAUGCCUCACUCGGGUCAACACCACGCCCUGCGACUGUCUGCUACUGGUCAAGGUGCCACUAGGAGCUGUUGUUGAAAUACUCUUCGUCGAUGAUUCAGAAAUCUCUGAAAUAGCCAUCAGUCAUCCAUUCCACAUGCAUGGCUAUGAGUUCUACAUAAUGGAGACAGGAGUCUUCACUGCCGGCAACAGACAGACGCAAGUCGCCUCCCUGAUGGAGCGACUUGAGAGUCAGUCUUAUUCAAGGAGCGAUUAUCCUAGCAAGGACACCAUUGAUGUCCCAGCAUAUGGAUACGCUGUUACCAGAAUAGUUGCUGAUAAUCCAGGUUUUUGGUUCGUACACUGCCAUUUCAUUUACCACCUGAUAACAGGCAUGUCUCUGGUGAUCCAAGUGGGAGAGACGUCAGACAUGCCGGUCGUUCCUCGGGGUUUCCCCACCUGCGAUGACUUCCUCUCACCAGACGCAAGUCUUCUAUGACUCAUCAAUAUUGCUCCUCUGAGCAAGCGAACAUGAUUGACGAAUUUCAAAAGAACUGGUUCUAUUCAUCAACCAGAAUACCUCGAGCUGGAUAAAUAAUGCUGGCUUAGUGUAUAUUUUUGAUUAGAUACAAUUCAUUUCUAUCGUUUCACAAUAGUGUGCAACGGAUUAAAUGAGCUGUUUCAUGUCAAUAUUCGAUUCAUUCCUCAAUUCAAGUUGCUCUCGCUGUAUGCU